RNA transcript from Cynara cardunculus var. scolymus (artichoke), 946 nucleotides. It is a transcript of the gene named PRA1 family protein F3-like, with no coding region annotated. Lineage: Eukaryota; Viridiplantae; Streptophyta; Magnoliopsida; Asterales; Asteraceae. The transcript is spliced from 2 exons. The record is from RefSeq and is a predicted model, not a curated record.
CCCAAUUACUCCUGUACUACCAAGUACCAAUAAAUUCCACCCCCUUCCCCCCAAAUUCGUCCGGCUUCGAUCACCGGAGAAAAUGACGAUGUACGGCACGAUUCCGGCGUCUUCAGAUGAAGGUACGAAUCUCAAGUUCAUAUCCACUGCAAAAGCAAGCAUCAAAUCUGGAUUAGGCACACGACGUCCAUGGAAACAGAUGUUCAAUCUCCGUUCGAUUAACUUUCCUCACGGCGUCUCCGAUGCGUUUUCACGAAUCAGGACGAACGUUGGUUACUUUCGUAUGAACUACGUGAUAAUCAUGCUCUUGAUUUUGUUCUUUAGCCUGUUAUGGCAUCCGGUUUCGUUGAUUGUAUUUGUGGUGAUGAUGGCGGCCUGGUUGUUCCUCUACUUCCUCCGUAACGAGCCUCUGAUGAUAUUUCACCGAAUAAUCGAUGAUCGUGUGGUUCUGGUGGUUUUGUUUGUUGUAACGAUCGUUUUGUUGCUGUUGACUGGCGCCACGAUGAAUAUAUUGUCGUCGAUUCUGAUUGGACUGGUUGUUGUGGUGGUUCAUGCUGCUUUGAGGUGUACGGAUGAUUUGUCCUCAGACGAAGAACGCGUAGAGGCAGGUGGAUAUUUGGCGUCUUCUUCGUCCUAGAAGGUAGACAAAUAGUUUGCGUUUGGAUUGCAGCUCUUCAUUUGUUAAUCAUAGGUACAUUGCAUUAAAAUUCUAAAAGACAUAUUUAUUUUGAAAAGCCACUUGUCCUACGCCAUGUUGGAAGGAAUACAGAAGAGAGAGAAGUUUGGAUAGCGACUGAAAAUAGCUUUGUCCGUGGUGGUGGGUUAAAAAGAUUUUGGGUUUAAUUUGAUUUAUAUUUUGAGUAAUGUAUUUUUAAAUUUUUAUUUUGGUAUGUAAGAUGUAAAAUUUUAAAUAUUUAAGUAUCUGAAUAACCGAUUGAAGAAUUAA